UACGAAGGGGGCUAGCGUUGUUCGGAAUCACUGGGCGUAAAGCGCACGUAGGCGGAUGUGUCAGUCAGGGGUGAAAUCCCGGGGCUCAACCUCGGAACUGCCUCUGAUACAGCACAUCUUGAGUCCGGAAGAGGUGGGUGGAAUUCCUAGUGUAGAGGUGAAAUUCGUAGAUAUUAGGAAGAACACCGGUGGCGAAGGCGGCCAUCUGGACCGCAACUGACGCUGAGGCGCGAAAGCGUGGGGAGCAAACAGG
This 253-nucleotide ribosomal RNA is filed under the name uncultured bacterium. RNAcentral's name for it is "partial 16S ribosomal RNA". It matches the Rfam family "Bacterial small subunit ribosomal RNA", at positions 524 to 776 of the family's 1533-position model. The record is from RNAcentral.